RNAcentral lists this long non-coding RNA (323 nucleotides) under Panax ginseng (ginseng). RNAcentral describes it as "long non-coding RNA (PGIN_LNC019041)". The record is from RNAcentral. Lineage: Eukaryota; Viridiplantae; Streptophyta; Magnoliopsida; Apiales; Araliaceae.
UAUUACUGAAAUUACAAUUAAAGACAAUUAACAAACUAAACUAACUGUGCUACAUUUGUUUGUGCCACCUGUGCUAAACUCCUUUGUAUUUGAUGCUUCAGUUCAGUUAGUUGUGGCUGGGAAUGAUCUUGUAAUGCAGCAGCAACAUGAGCACCAUGAUGUGUAUCAACUCUAUUACUCCCCCCGCAAAUGGGAGGUCCACAAGGAUUGUGGAGUCCCAAUUUGGAAAUGAUAAACGAGUGAGCAGAACGCCCCAAAGGUUUGGUAAAAAUAUCAGCAAAUUGUUGAGUACUGGGAAUAUAAACAAGUUUAAUGAACUGAGC